AGGCAGCAGUGGGGAAUAUUGCACAAUGGGCGCAAGCCUGAUGCAGCCAUGCCGCGUGUAUGAAGAAGGCCUUCGGGUUGUAAAGUACUUUCAGCGAGGAGGAAGGUGUUGAGGUUAAUAACCGCAGCAAUUGACGUUACUCGCAGAAGAAGCACCGGCUAACUCCGUGCCAGCAGCCGCGGUAAUACGGAGGGUGCAAGCGUUAAUCGGAAUUACUGGGCGUAAAGCGCACGCAGGCGGUCUGUCAAGUCGGAUGUGAAAUCCCCGGGCUCAACCUGGGAACUGCAUCCGAAACUGGCAGGCUAGAGUCUUGUAGAGGGGGGUAGAAUUCCAGGUGUAGCGGUGAAAUGCGUAGAGAUCUGGAGGAAUACCGGUGGCGAAGGCGGCCCCCUGGCUCGAUACUGACGCUGAAGUGCGAAAGCGUGGGGAUCAAACAGGAUUAGAUACCCUGGUAGUCCACGCCGUAAACGAUGUCUACUAGCCGUUGGGAGACUUGAUUUCUUAGUGGCGCAGCUAACGCAAUAAGUAGACCGCCUGGGGAGUACGGCCGCAAGGUUAAAACUCAAAUGAAUUGACGGGGGC
Molecule: ribosomal RNA, 582 nt
Filed under: uncultured Citrobacter sp.
Lineage: Bacteria; Pseudomonadati; Pseudomonadota; Gammaproteobacteria; Enterobacterales; Enterobacteriaceae
Description: bacterial SSU rRNA
Rfam family: Bacterial small subunit ribosomal RNA
Source: RNAcentral